GACGAACGCUGGCGGCAUGCCUAAUACAUGCAAGUCGAGCGAACAGAUGAAGUGCUUGCACUUCUGACGUUAGCGGCGAACGGGUGAGUAACACGUAAGGAAUCUACCUAUAAGCGGGGGAUAACAUUCGGAAACGGGUGCUAAUACCGCAUAAUAUCUUCUUCCGCAUGGAAGAAGAUUGAAAGACGGCUCUGCUGUCACUUAUAGAUGACCUUGCGGUGCAUUAGUAGGUGGGUGGGGUAACGGCCUACCAGGACGAUGAUGCAUAGCCGACCUGAGAGGGUGAUCGGCCACAUUGGGACUGAGACACGGCCCAAACUCCUACGGGAGGCAGCAGUAGGGAAUCUUCCGCAAUGGGCGAGAGCCUGACGGAGCAAUGCCGCGUGAGUGAAGAAGGCCUUCGGGUCGUAAAACUCUGUUAUAAGAGAAGAACAAAUUGUAGAGUAACUGCUACAGUCUUGACGGUAUCUUAUCAGAAAGCCACGGCUAACUACGUGCCAGCCGCCGCAGUAA
This 513-nucleotide ribosomal RNA is filed under the name uncultured bacterium. RNAcentral describes it as "partial 16S ribosomal RNA". It matches the Rfam family "Bacterial small subunit ribosomal RNA", at positions 28 to 523 of the family's 1533-position model. The record is from RNAcentral.